RNAcentral lists this ribosomal RNA (871 nucleotides) under uncultured archaeon. Its description in RNAcentral is "bacterial SSU rRNA". It matches the Rfam family "Archaeal small subunit ribosomal RNA", at positions 1 to 872 of the family's 1478-position model. The record is from RNAcentral.
UUCCGGUGAUCCUGCCGGAGGCCACUGUUAUCGGGGUCCGACUAAGCCAUGCGAGACAAGGGGCUCCUUCGGGAGCACCGGCGCACGGCUCAUAAACACGUGGCUAACCUACCCUCGGGUGGGGGAUAACCUCGGGAAACUGAGGCUAAUCCCCCCCAUGGGGGAGGAGGUCUGGAACGAUCCCUCCCCGAAAGCUCCCGGCGCCCGAGGAUGGGGCUGCGGCGGAUUAGGUAGUUGGUGGGGUAACGGCCCACCAAGCCGACGAUCCGUACGGGCCCUGAGAGGGGGAGCCCGGAGAUGGACACUGAGACACGGUUCCAGGCCCUACGGGGCGCAGCAGGCGCGAAACCUCCGCAUUGCACGAAAUGCGACGGGGGGACCCCGAGUGCCAUCCCAAUGGGAUGGCUUUUCCGGAGUGUAAACAGCUCCGGGAAUAAGGGCUGGGCAAGUCCGGUGCCAGCAGCCGCGGUAAUACCGGCGGCCCAAGUGGUGGCCACUAUUAUUGGGCCUAAAGCGUCCGUAGCCGGCCCCAGUAAGUCUCUGCUUAAAUCCUGCGGCUCCAACCGCAGGGCUGGCAGAGAUACUGCUGGGCUUGGGACCGGGAGAGGCCGGGGGUACCCCAGGGGUAGCGGUGAAAUGCGUUGAUCCCUGGGGGACCACCUGUGGCGAAAGGCGCCCGGCUGGAACGGGUCCGACGGUGAGGGACGAAGGCCAGGGGAGCAAACCGGAUUAGAUACCCGGGUAGUCCUGGCUGUAAACUCUGCGGACUAGGUGUCGCGUCGGUUCGGGCCGACGCGGUGCCGAAGGAAGCCGUUAAGUCCGCCGCCUGGGGAGUACGGUCGCAAGACUGAAACUUAAAGGAUAUGGCGGG